This 2382-nucleotide ribosomal RNA is filed under the name Salmonella enterica subsp. enterica serovar Enteritidis. Its description in RNAcentral is "partial 23S ribosomal RNA". It matches the Rfam family "Bacterial large subunit ribosomal RNA", at positions 530 to 2897 of the family's 2925-position model. Lineage: Bacteria; Pseudomonadati; Pseudomonadota; Gammaproteobacteria; Enterobacterales; Enterobacteriaceae. The record is from RNAcentral.
UGAGGGGAGUGAAAUAGAUCCUGAAACCGCAUGCAUACAAGCAGUGGGAGCCGACUUGUUCGGUGACUGCGUACCUUUUGUAUAAUGGGUCAGCGACUUAUAUUCAGUAGCGAGGUUAACCGAAUAGGGGAGCCGUAGAGAAAUCGAGUCUUAAUAGGGCGUUUAGUUGCUGGGUAUAGACCCGAAACCAGGCGAUCUAUCCAUGAGCAGGUUGAAGGUUGGGUAACACUAACUGGAGGACCGAACCCACUGUCGUUGAAAAGCCAGGGGAUGACUUGUGGAUAGGGGUGAAAGGCUAAUCAAGCCUGGUGAUAGCUGGUUCUCCCCGAAAGCUAUUUAGGUAGCGCCUCGGACGAAUACCAUUGGGGGUAGAGCACUGUUUCGGCUAGGGGGUCAUCCCGACUUACCAAACCGAUGCAAACUCCGAAUACCAAUGAGUACUAUCCGGGAGACAGACUGCGGGUGCUAACGUCCGUAGUCAAGAGGAAAACAAUCCAGACCGCCAGCUAAGGCCCCAAAAUCAUAGUUAAGUGGGAAACGAUGUGGGAAGGCAUAGACAGCUAGGAGGUUGGCUUAGAAGCAGCCACCCUUUAAAGAAAGCGUAAUAGCUCACUAGUCGAGUCGGCCUGCGCGGAAGAUGUAACGGGGCUAAAACUAUGUGCCGAAGCUGCGGAUUUGACAUUAGUCAAGUGGUAGGGGAGCGUUCUGUAAGCCGAUGAAGGUGUAUUGAGAAGUAUGCUGGAGGUAUCAGAAGUGCGAAUGCUGACGUGAGUAACGACAAAACGGGUGAAAAACCCGUUCGCUGAAAGACCAAGGGUUCCAGUCCAACGUUAAUCGGGGCUGGGUGAGUCGACCCCUAAGGCGAGGCCGAGAGGCGUAGUCGAUGGGAAAUUGGUUAAUAUUCCAAUACUUCUGUGUAAUGCGAUGAGAGGACGGAGAAGGUUAAGUCAGCCUGGCGUUGGUUGUCCAGGUGGAAGACCGUAGGCAUGCAUCUUAGGCAAAUCCGGGGUGCUCUAUGCUGAGAGUCGAUAGCAAGCUGUACUUGUACAGUGAAGUGGCUGAUACCAUGCUUCCAGGAAAAGUCUCUAAGCUUCAGUUACACAGGAAUCGUACCCGAAACCGACACAGGUGGUCAGGUCGAGUAGACCAAAGCGCUUGAGAGAACUCUGCUGAAGGAACUAGGCAAAAUGGUACCGUAACUUCGGGAGAAGGUACGCUGCUGACGGUGAUGGGACUUGCUCCCUGAGCGGUUGGCAGCCGCAGAAACCAGGCCGCUGCAACUGUUUAUUAAAAACAUAGCACUCUGCAAACACGAAAGUGGACGUAUAGGGUGUGAUGCCUGCCCGGUGCUGGAAGGUUAAUUGAUGGGGUUAGCGUAAGCGAAGCUCUUGAUCGAAGCCCCAGUAAACGGCGGCCGUAACUAUAACGGUCCUAAGGUAGCGAAAUUCCUUGUCGGGUAAGUUCCGACCUGCACGAAUGGCAUAAUGAUGGCGGCGCUGUCUCCAGCAGAGGCUCAGUGAAAUCGAAAUCGCUGUGAAGAUGCAGUGUACCCGCGGCUAGACGGAAAGACCCCGUGAACCUUUACUGCAGCUUGACAUUGAACUUUGACCUUACUUGUGUAGGAUAGGUGGGAGGCUUUGAAGUUGGAACGCUAGUUCCAAUGGAGCCGUCCUUGAAAUACCACCCUGGUAAUGUUGAGGUUCUAACUCUGUCCCGUAAUCCGGGACGAGGACCAUGUCUGGUGGGUAGUUUGACUGGGGCGGUCUCCUCCUAAAGAGUAACGGAGGAGUACGAAGGUGCGCUCAGCGUGGUCGGAAAUCACGCGUAGAGUAUAAAGGCAAAAGCGCGCUUAACUGCGAGACCCACAAGUCGAGCAGGUACGAAAGUAGGUCUUAGUGAUCCGGUGGUUCUGUAUGGAAGGGCCAUCGCUCAACGGAUAAAAGGUACUCUGGGGAUAACAGGCUGAUACCGCCCAAGAGUUCAUAUCGACGGCGGUGUUUGGCACCUCGAUGUCGGCUCAUCUCAUCCUGGGGCUGAAGCAGGUCCCAAGGGUAUGGCUGUUCGCCAUUUAAAGAGGUACGCGAGCUGGGUUUAGAACGUCGUGAGACAGUUCGGUCCCUAUCUACCGUGGGCGCUGGAAAUUUGAGAGGAUCUGCUCCUAGUACGAGAGGACCAGAGUGGACGAACCUCUGGUGUACCGGUUGUCACGCCAGUGGCAUCGCCGGGUAGCUAUGUUCGGAAGGGAUAACCGCUGAAAGCAUCUAAGCGGGAAGCCUACCUCAAGAUAAGAUUUCCCUAGGAAUUUAUUCCUCUAAAGAGCCGUUCGAGACUAGGACGUUGAUAGGUUGGGUGUGGAAGCACGGUGACGUGUGAAGCUGACCA